GAUGAACGCUGACAGAAUGCUUAACACAUGCAAGUCGAUUCAAUUUACCUUCGGGUAUUGAGGAUGGCGGACGGGUGAGUAACGCGUAAGGAACUUGCCUCUUGGUCUGGGACAACUGUUGGAAACGACAGCUAAUACCGGAUAUUAUGAGAUUCUCGCAUGGGAAACUUAUGAAAGCUAUAUGCGCCAAGAGAGAGCCUUGCGUUCCAUUAGCUAGUUGGUGGGGUAACGGCCCACCAAGGCGACGAUGGAUAGCCGGCCUGAGAGGGUGAACGGCCACAAGGGGACUGAGACACGGCCCUUACUCCUACGGGAGGCAGCAGUGGGGAAUAUUGGACAAUGGGCCACAAGCCUGAUCCAGCAAUUCUGUGUGCACGAUGAAGGUCUUCGGAUUGUAAAGUGCUUUCAGUUGGGAAGAAGAAAGUGACGGUACCAACAGAAGAAGCGACGGCUAAAUACGUGCCAGCAGCCGCGGUAAUACGUAUGUCGCAAGCGUUAUCCGGANUUAUUGGGCGUAAAGCGCGUCUAGGCGGAAAAAUAAGUCUGAUGUUAAAAUGCGGGGCUCAACUCCGUAUUGNNUUGGAAACUGUUUUUCUAGAGUACUGGANAGGUGGGCGGAACUACAAGUGUAGAGGUGAAAUUC
RNAcentral lists this ribosomal RNA (643 nucleotides) under uncultured prokaryote. RNAcentral's name for it is "bacterial SSU rRNA". It matches the Rfam family "Bacterial small subunit ribosomal RNA", at positions 28 to 689 of the family's 1533-position model. The record is from RNAcentral.